UGGGAUUGCCUUAGUAACGGCGAGUGAAGCGGCAAUAGCUCAAAUUUGAAAGCUGGCCCCUUUGGGGUCCGCGUUGUAAUUUGUAGAGGAUGAUUCGGCGAGGGCUCCCGUCUAAGUCCCCUGGAACGGGGCGUCAUAGAGGGUGAGAAUCCCGUAUGUGAUGGGUUGCCUUAGCCAUGUGAAUCUCCUUCGACGAGUCGAGUUGUUUGGGAAUGCAGCUCUAAAUGGGAGGUAAAUUUCUUCUAAAGCUAAAUACCGGCCAGAGACCGAUAGCGCACAAGUAGAGUGAUCGAAAGAUGAAAAGCACUUUGGAAAGAGAGUUAAAAAGUACGUGAAAUUGUUGAAAGGGAAGCGCUUGCAGUCAGACUUGUCCGCAGUUGCUCAGCCGGUCUCUUGACCGGCGUACUCUUCUGCGGCCAGGCCAGCAUCAGUUCGGGCGGUCGGAUAAAGACCUCGGGAAUGUAGCUCCUCUCGGGGAGUGUUAUAGCCCGGGGUGGAAUGCGGCCAGCCUGGACUGAGGAUCUCGCUUCGGCUAGGAUGCUGGCGUAAUGGCUGUAAGCGGCCCGUCUUGAAACACGGACCAAGGAGUCUAACAUCUAUGCGAGUGUUUGGGUGUCAAACCCAUACGCGUAAUGAAAGUGAACGGAGGUGGGAACCCUCACGGGUGCACCAUCGACCGAUCCUGAUGUCUUCGGAUGGAUUUGAGUAAGAGCAUAGCUGUUGGGACCCGAAAGAUGGUGAACUAUGCCUGAAUAGGGUGAAGCCAGAGGAAACUCUGGUGGAGGCUCGCAGCGGUUCUGACGUGCAAAUCGAUCGUCAAAUUUGGGUAUAGGGGCGAAAGACUAAUCGAACCAUCUAG
This 859-nucleotide ribosomal RNA is filed under the name Dothiorella uruguayensis. RNAcentral's name for it is "eukaryotic LSU rRNA". It matches the Rfam family "Eukaryotic large subunit ribosomal RNA", at positions 70 to 947 of the family's 3401-position model. Lineage: Eukaryota; Fungi; Ascomycota; Dothideomycetes; Botryosphaeriales; Botryosphaeriaceae. The record is from RNAcentral.